GUGGGGAAUUUUGGACAAUGGGGGCAACCCUGAUCCAGCAAUGCCGCGUGCAGGAAGAAGGCCUUCGGGUUGUAAACUGCUUUUGUACGGAACGAAAAGGCUCUGGUUGAUACCUGGGGCACAUGACGGUACCGUAAGAAUAAGCACCGGCUAACUACGUGCCAGCAGCCGCGGUAAUACGUAGGGUGCAAGCGUUAAUCGGAAUUACUGGGCGUAAAGCGUGCGCAGGCGGUGCUGUAAGACAGGCGUGAAAUCCCCGGGCUUAACCUGGGAAUGGCGCUUGUGACUGCAGUGCUGGAGUGUGGCAGAGGGGGAUGGAAUUCCGCGUGUAGCAGUGAAAUGCGUAGAUAUGCGGAGGAACACCGAUGGCGAAGGCAAUCCCCUGGGCCUGCACUGACGCUCAUGCACGAAAGCGUGGGGAGCAAACAGGAUUAGAAACCCUGGUAGUCC
RNAcentral lists this ribosomal RNA (450 nucleotides) under uncultured bacterium. RNAcentral describes it as "partial 16S ribosomal RNA". It matches the Rfam family "Bacterial small subunit ribosomal RNA", at positions 354 to 796 of the family's 1533-position model. The record is from RNAcentral.